Molecule: ribosomal RNA, 480 nt
Filed under: Gehyra oceanica (Pacific dtella)
Lineage: Eukaryota; Metazoa; Chordata; Lepidosauria; Squamata; Gekkonidae
Description: partial 16S ribosomal RNA
Rfam family: Bacterial large subunit ribosomal RNA
Source: RNAcentral
GCGGUAUCCUAACCGUGCAAAGGUAGCGUAAUCACUUGCCCCCUAAAUAGGGGCCCGUAUGAAUGGCCAAAUAAGAACAUACCUGUCUCCUAUGGCAAAUCAAUGAAACUGAGCCCCCAGUACAAAAGCUGGGAUAAAUACACAAGACGAGAAGACCCCGUGGAGCUUCAAACAUAAUGCUACUCUACAAACCCCAUCUUAGAGCAUAGCAAAAGUUUUUGGUUGGGGCAACCACGGAGAAAAAUAAAACCUCCAUGAAACAGGGAAUCUACCCACCCAAGGCCGACACGCCAACGCCAAAAAUUGACCCAGAACCACACUGAUCACCGAAUCAAGUUACCCCGGGGAUAACAGCGCCAUCCUCUCUAAGAGUCCAUAUCACCAAGAGGGUUUACGACCUCGAUGUUGGAUCAGGACACCCCUGUGGUGCAGCCGCUACUAACGGUGCGUUUGUUCAACGCUUAAAGUCCUACGUGAUCU